GAUGAACGCUGGCGGCGUGCCUAAUACAUGCAAGUCGAGCGAACGGACGAGAAGCUUGCUUCUCUGAUGUUAGCGGCGGACGGGAGAGUAACAUGUGUAUAACCUACCUAUAAGACUGGGAUAACUUCGGGAAACCGGAGCUAAUACCGGAUAAUAUUUUGAACCGCAUGGUUCAAAAGUAAAAGACGGUCUUGCUGUCACUUAUAGAUGGAUCCGCGCUGCAUUAGUUAGUUGGUAAGGUAACGGCUUACCAAGGCAACGAUGCAUAGCCGACCUGAGAGGGUGGACGCACAGCCUGGAACUGAGACAGGGUACAGACUCCGACGGGAGGCAGCAGUCGGGAAUCUUCCGCAAUGGGCGAAAGCCUGACGGUGCACCGCCGCGUGAGUGAUGAAGGUCUUCGGAUCGGAGAACUCUGUUAUUAGGGAAGAACAUAUGUGUAAGUACCUGUGCACAUCUUGACGGUACCGAGUCAGAAAGCCACGGCUAACUCCGUG
This 497-nucleotide ribosomal RNA is filed under the name uncultured bacterium. RNAcentral describes it as "partial 16S ribosomal RNA". It matches the Rfam family "Bacterial small subunit ribosomal RNA", at positions 28 to 507 of the family's 1533-position model. The record is from RNAcentral.